RNAcentral lists this transfer RNA (87 nucleotides) under Xylaria sp. FL0933. RNAcentral describes it as "tRNA-Ser". It matches the Rfam family "tRNA". Rfam says of the family: Transfer RNA (tRNA) molecules are approximately 80 nucleotides in length. Their secondary structure includes four short double-helical elements and three loops (D, anti-codon, and T loops). Lineage: Eukaryota; Fungi; Ascomycota; Sordariomycetes; Xylariales; Xylariaceae. The record is from RNAcentral.
UACCGGGUGGUGUAGUGGAAGCACACCUGAACGCUGUACUAUGGUAUGUGUACUAGGGAGACAUAGGUUCGAAUCCUGUCCCGGUUA